This 142-nucleotide small nuclear RNA is filed under the name Carlito syrichta (Philippine tarsier). Its description in RNAcentral is "U4 spliceosomal RNA (ENSTSYG00000023281.2)". It matches the Rfam family "U4 spliceosomal RNA". From Rfam's summary of the family: U4 small nuclear RNA (U4 snRNA) is a component of the major U2-dependent spliceosome. The structure of U4 snRNA from yeast and human has been reported. Lineage: Eukaryota; Metazoa; Chordata; Mammalia; Primates; Tarsiidae. The record is from Rfam by way of RNAcentral.
AGCUUUGUGCAAUGGCAAUAUCAUAGCCAUUGUGGUUUAUCUAAAGCAUGGUUAUUGCUAAUUGACAAAAGUAUCCUAGUACCUUGUCAUGACAACUUAAAAUAUACUUGGCAUUUGUAAUUUUUGACAGUCUCUUUAGAGU